UAUGCAAUGAGUUUAAGCUCAAAACAUCCUGCAAAUAUACAUACACAAAAUGAAAGAAAGAAAUAAAAAAGAAAAAAGAAAAAAUGGAAAAAUAGGUCACAUAUUUGUAUGUUUCUUGUUUUUCCAUUUUUUUUUUUUUUUUUUUUUUUCCUUUUUCUUUCUCCUAAUUUGUGUAAUUUUUAUAAAAACAGGAAGGAAGGUCUGAGAUGCUGCAUUUAAAGAAUAGAAAAGAAAAGUCAAUGAAUUUUAAUUUUUUUUUUUAUAAUUCUUAUGAAUUAAAAAGAAAGAAAAAAAAAGUUAUAACAUUCGUUGUUACUUUUUAUUUCACAUAUAUAUAUAUAUAUAUUCUUUAAUAAAAUUUUUGAGAGAAAAAGUAUUGAACAAAUAUUAAUUAGUUACCAGAAAUAUCAAUCAUAUAUUUAAAAUUUCGUAAGAAGUUUUGUGUAUGGUUUUGAAAAAGCUAAUAAGCAAGUAUACAUUGGUGAGUUCGAUUUUUGAGGUUUUUCUUUAUUCCUACAUCUCAUAUAUCAAUAUUUUUUUUAUAAUUAUAUAUUAUACGAGGUGAUAAUAAGAAAAAUAACUUAAUUCAGACUACUCCUAACUUCAUUGCUGCAA
RNAcentral lists this RNase P RNA (615 nucleotides) under Plasmodium falciparum K1. Its description in RNAcentral is "Plasmodium RNase_P". It matches the Rfam family "Plasmodium RNase_P". The record is from Rfam by way of RNAcentral. Lineage: Eukaryota; Apicomplexa; Aconoidasida; Haemosporida; Plasmodiidae.